UUCGCAAUGCCCGAAAGGGUGACGAAGCGACGCCGCGUGUGGGAAGAAGGCCCUCGGGUUGUAAACCGCUGUUGGGAGUUAGGAAGUGUGGAGGCGUUAAUAGCGCUUCCAUUUGACUAAAGCUCCAGAGGAAGCCACGGCUAACUCUGUGCCAGCAGCCACGGUAAUACAGAGGCGGCAAGCGUUGUUCGGAAUUAUCGGGCGUAAAGAGCACGUAGGCGGCUCUGCAAGUCAGCUGUGAAAGCCUUCUGCUUAACGGAAGAACAGCAGUUGAAACUACAGGGCUUGAGUGCGGGAGGGGAGAGUGGAACUUCUGGUGGAGCGGUGAAAUGCGUAGAUAUCAGAAGGAACGCCGGCGGCGAAAGCGGCUCUCUGGUCCGCAACUGACGCUGAGUGUGCGAAAGCUAGGGGAGCAAACGGGAUUAGAUACCCCGGUAGUCCUAGCCGUAAACGAUGGGCACUAAGUAGAGGGGUUUU
Molecule: ribosomal RNA, 477 nt
Filed under: uncultured anaerobic ammonium-oxidizing bacterium
Lineage: Bacteria
Description: bacterial SSU rRNA
Rfam family: Bacterial small subunit ribosomal RNA
Source: RNAcentral